AGUAUCUGAAUUUGGGGAGAACAUAAGUCCAUGACACAUGUGUACAAGACUUUCAUUGUGAUAUUACUGUCAUAAUAAUAAUAUAUAACAACAUACAACAGAGCAACCAACAAGCUUAACACCUGAGAAAAGAUAGGUGCCUCCAAGAAGAAACAAACAUGAGUACUUGAUUACCUAGGGCAUACACAGCACAGACCAAGAUAUAAUCGCCUUGAAAGUGGAUGAAAAGAAUGUAGCUGAGACAUUUAUCAAAUUACUGGAGGCCAAGUGUGAACACUAGUGAAGAUCAAUUGUGGUUGGAGAAAUGAAGAACAACAAAACUCUAACCCCAGGACAGGUACAAGAUUAUUGAGAAAGCUUCACCCCACAAACUCAGGGGCACCAAGACUGAGGCUGAGCUGUAACGACAGAAUUUUCCCACUGUUAAGGCAAACUAAAUAUGGCCUGAGAAGGACUUCUAUAUUUGAGUCCUUGUGGACUAAAUGCAACCUAGCUUAACAGGGUAGGAACAUUUAAAGGGACCAAAAAUGGAUGAACAUACUGGGCACUAUGAACUAAAAGAUCUUUGGCUAAAGAAGAGACGAAGACUCAUUCAACUCCUACAAGUGAAUUAAGGAGCUCUGAGAAGGCAAAGCCAGCCCAGGAGGGUGGGCAGACUAAGAACAAUGUGCCUUGUCUUGAUACACAGUUGUGGUAUAGGUAACAAAAUCUGAGUAUCCAACCUAAGAUGUUACCCCUCACCUCACCAGAAUACCUCCAAUCCCUUCCCUGGAAACACAGAAUAAAUUUCUAUAGAAAGUUA
Molecule: long non-coding RNA, 802 nt
Filed under: Pongo abelii (Sumatran orangutan)
Lineage: Eukaryota; Metazoa; Chordata; Mammalia; Primates; Hominidae
Description: lincRNA
Source: RNAcentral